AAAACGAUUAUUACCAGCAUUAGGCCAUGAGGAGAAAGACAAAUCUCUGCUUUUAUAGCCGUGAGUCUUACAUAGCGAUGGUAUGCUGGUUUCUCCUUUAAAACACCUCAGUGGUUGUUCUAAAAAAGAGAUAAAACUCCCGGCUGCCAGGAAGCUAGCCUUUCAAAUCCUACACUCUCUCCUCGGUGUUCCCAACCACAGAGGAGUUGUGACUCAGAGGCAGGCAAAUAGUGGUCUUUACAGCUGAAUAUUCAUCAGAAUGGGUGAAGACAUGCUGUGCUUGAUCCUGAAUUAUGUCAUAUAGCGAUAUAUUCAACAAGGAAUGGCGUUUUACAGAACAUUCCUGAGGCAAGUCUGAUGCCUCAAUAAAUCUGCCCCACUCUCUCUCUCUCUCUCUCUCUCUCUCCCUUAGUUUGUCUCAGUGGAAUGUCAGCUGGCAAGUGCCCAGACAUUGAGACUUAGCCUUUCAGAACGUGCCAGUCUCACCCAAGCUUCAGAAGUGGGCAAGCGCAGAAGCAGCAGUCCCCUUAUCAAAGCGCUUGUCCAGCAGGGCUCACGGCUCAGUGAACCACUGAUCACCAAAUCCUCUGACCUGCCGUUAACCCGCCCGACUCAGAGCGACAGUGACAGAAGAGUCUGUCAUGUUGAAGACCUACAGAGAGACUACUGAGAGCUACGGAGAUGAUAUGAUGUUAGAAUGCCUAGUGCAUCAUCAUUUACAUGGGGUCAGAUGAACAAAUAUCUCUACAAUACCACAUGCCACAAUGGCAAAAGAAAAUUAGUUUU
Molecule: long non-coding RNA, 786 nt
Organism: Rhinichthys klamathensis goyatoka
Lineage: Eukaryota; Metazoa; Chordata; Actinopteri; Cypriniformes; Leuciscidae
Exons: 3
Source: RefSeq, a predicted model, not a curated record